RNAcentral lists this long non-coding RNA (600 nucleotides) under Panax ginseng (ginseng). Its description in RNAcentral is "long non-coding RNA (PGIN_LNC005828)". Lineage: Eukaryota; Viridiplantae; Streptophyta; Magnoliopsida; Apiales; Araliaceae. The record is from RNAcentral.
AUUUUCCCGGUUGAUGUCACACCGAAGGGGUACAUUAUGUUUGACCUAAUCUUGGUUUAAUAUGGUCUUUGCUUUUGAAAUGCUACAACUAUACUCUAAUUCUUGUUAUCAUUUAAUGGUGGAAUUUUCUUUAGUAAGAGAUAUCAACGUUUGAGUAGUCGGUUUUUUAUGUGAAGACUGAAGACCUUGAUCACAAAUGCGAUAGAAAGUUUUUAGCUAGUUUACCUUCCCAUUCAUUCUUUUAUAAGGGUGCUCUUCAGCUGGUCAUAUGCCAAUUAUGAAGGAGUCUUAAAAAAAAUGAAAAUAACUAGAGCUUACUGGCACUCUAGAAUGAUCUUCUUUGCUAGUGCUGAAUGCUGAUGAUCACAAAUAAACUUGGAUGUUUUAUUUUAUUAGGUUGGGAUAUAUGUGGAUGCCUUUUGUGAAGAUCUCAGCGGAUUAUGUAGGUACUGGUUGGCAUGGAGUCACUCUACACGUUUUAGUGUAUUUGUCAGUAUUUUGGUAAGUGAAGAGUCUUACGCUGCAGCUGAAAAGGAAUUAAUUAUUUAUUUUGCAUGUAACGAGUGUAUAUUGUAGAGAUAAGUCUUGAGAAUAAUGGAG